UUUCCGUAGGUGAACCUGCGGAAGGAUCAUUAUCGAGAUGACGGGUCUAACCGGCCCUCUCUCCGUUCUCUGUCAUAAGUUCUCCUUGCGCGCCUCACGGCGUGGAUUAGAGCUGGAUCGUUUCGGUGGAGGUGUUGUCUGGUUGACGGGUAAUGCUGUCGACCAGGCGACCGCCAUCGUUCUUAACUCUACCGUGGAUGAUGACGUCUGAAGCAAGAAAAUAAAGCAAAACUUUCAACAACGGAUCUCUUGGCUCUGGCAUCGAUGAAGAACGCAGC
This 278-nucleotide unclassified non-coding RNA is filed under the name uncultured fungus. RNAcentral's name for it is "sequence contains ITS1, 5.8S rRNA gene". The stretch from base 230 to 278 matches the Rfam family "5.8S ribosomal RNA", at positions 1 to 49 of the family's 154-position model. The record is from RNAcentral. Lineage: Eukaryota; Fungi.